RNAcentral lists this transfer RNA (72 nucleotides) under Phakopsora pachyrhizi. RNAcentral's name for it is "tRNA-Ser". It matches the Rfam family "tRNA". From Rfam's summary of the family: Transfer RNA (tRNA) molecules are approximately 80 nucleotides in length. Their secondary structure includes four short double-helical elements and three loops (D, anti-codon, and T loops). Further hydrogen bonds mediate the characteristic L-shaped molecular structure. tRNAs have two regions of fundamental functional importance: the anti-codon, which is responsible for specific mRNA codon recognition, and the 3' end, to which the tRNAs corresponding amino acid is attached (by aminoacyl-tRNA synthetases). tRNAs cope with the degeneracy of the genetic code in two manners: having more than one tRNA (with a specific anti-codon) for a particular amino acid; and 'wobble' base-pairing, i.e. permitting non-standard base-pairing at the 3rd anti-codon position. Lineage: Eukaryota; Fungi; Basidiomycota; Pucciniomycetes; Pucciniales; Phakopsoraceae. The record is from RNAcentral.
GCGCACUUAGCUCAGUGGUUAGAGCAUCACUCUUGAAUGUUUAGGUUGCAAGUUAAAUUCCUGCAGUGCGCA